CCUGAAAAUCUACUAGUCUACCUUUAACUGUUUUUAGUUUUUCUGGUGAUUAUCCUCAUAUCUCUAAAUAAUAUACAUAUAUUCUAUUUAUCAACUUAUCUAUCAAUUUUAGUCAUUGUCUGUUGAUGACCUGCUAUUUAUGCCAACAAACUACUCUCCUCCUAUGCCUUCAGUAUAGAGAUGUCGCCAGUUAUAUAUCCUCUAUUCCUUACCUUUUAACCUUUAACUAAUAGAUUUCUAUUUCUUAAUUCUGUCUUCUUUACUUUUAUAUUAACAAGGUUAAUAAUAUUUUAACAUUCUGUCUGUAACCAUAAUUAAGUCAUCUGUACUUUGUUGAUAGUUCAUUCUAAAAGUUUAAAUUCAAUAAAGUGUUUCUGCUUUUAUGAUUAUGUAAAUAUUGUUCCAUAAAGAUCCAAUAGGAUUACAUUUCUUUCUGUAUACAGUAUUUUUUCCUGUAGUUUCUAAAUGCCUUUCUUUUUUCCCUUGCAUUGCCUGACUUUAUCAUCUUCUCAAUUUAUUUCAAAUUCUCAAGGAAAGUAUAAAAUCAUUUGAAUCCCCUUUUUCCCCAGAUACCUUCCUCCUGGAGCCUCCGUCUUCCUGCUCCAAUUUGGACUGAUUGCUCUGUAGGCCUGCGGCACAGCUGUCAUCCUGGGACGUCCCUUCAUUACUCUUCUGGGUUGGACCCAAUCUUUCUUGGACCCCAUAUCUUCCUCUUUCUUAAUUAUUCCCUUGUAGUGGACAUUGUGGUUAUUUUCCAACAUCCAUUCCACUUCUCCCCCAUUGUAUAACAACUGUGCAAUUUGAGUGGGAUUGACCCCACCAGCAGCUCUAGGUAUAGGCCUUCAUUGGUAUAAAUUGAUCUGAGUAAUUUCAUCCCCCAGCUAAGUGAUGAUUGGUUCAGGGAUGAUCCAGUCACACUGAGGCUUAGGAAUUUUGUUCAGCUUUAGAGGGAAGAGAUAGCCCCUCUUCCCUGUAUAUGAACAAAGAAGCAUGUGGCUUUGUUGCUGCUGUUUGCCAUGUUGUGAACAUGUAGAAGGCUUACCUGAGGAUGGAACUGACAAGUGGAGGAGGCAGAACCAAGAGAAUCACAAAGAAAUGGAACCAUAUUCCAGAUCGUACCAGACCUGAAGUCUCCCCACCUAUGGACUCCUAAGUUAAGUGAGCCAAUAAAUUGCAUUUACUUUUUAAGCCAGUUUGAGUUGGGUUUUCUAUUGUUUAUACCUGAAAGCAUUUUAAUUUGUUUUUGGUGUCUCCCUUUGGAAAGGAUGAGUACAGAUUUGGUGAUUUGAGGUAUAUUGUCACAUGGAAGCAUUUUUUCAAAGUGUAAAUAUGGGAGAAAGGAUAUAUGUGGGUGUAGGACAACCAAGUGAACUCUAAUGUUGGCUUAGUAUCUAAAUCCUAUUACCAUUUUGGGGACAUUCCCCCCUAGUGGGAGUCUUGGUCCCCGGAUUUUCUCCUAUGGGAACUAAAGGUGGUCAAAUAGUUCCUCUCCCUGUCCAGCAGGUAAUAAGGGCUGAAUACUCUGUUCACAGCUUUCAAUCUGGAGUCAGCAACACACAGAAACCAGAAAUACACAAAUUAACAGAAUGAUAAUAGAUGAAGAGACUAUAUUUGUAAUGUUUUAAAUUGACAGAAGAUUGAUCAAUAAAAAAAGGAGAUAGUAAACCCAUCAGGAAAGUGAUCAUAGGAUAUGAAGAGUAAUUUACACAGGUAGAAACUUGAAUAUAUUAAGAAAUUUUCAACUCUGCUAAUAAUUAGAGAAAUGAGAAUUAAAAUAACAGUGAGAAAUCACUAUAAAAGUGGUAACAUGUAGAAAGUUAAAUAUUAUCAUUUGCUGAUGAGGAAAUGUGAGAAAAAGGACAAUUAUCGAUGGGAGCAUAAACUGGUACAGCUAUUCCAGAGCAGUUUGGCAGUCUCUUACAACAUUAAGUAUGUAUAUACCAUGCAAUCCAGAAAUCCUAUUCCCCAGUGUAUAUUCUAGAGAAAUUCUCACACAGGUCCUAAGGAAAUAGAAUUGAGGUUGUUUAUUGCAGCAUUGUUUGUGGUAGUGGAAAUUGGAAGCAAUCUAAGUGUCACCAUGGGACUGGAUAAGCAAACUGAAGUAUAUCCAUAGGAUGGAAAAGUAUAAAACAAUUAAAAGCAGUAAGCUACAUUUACAUAUAGCCACAUGAGUAGAUCCCCAAACCUAGUUUUGAAUGAAGAAAGCAAGAAACAGUAAGAUUUAUAGCAUAAUAUUUAUAUAAAUGUAAAACAACAGUGUGUAUUUUCAUGGGUAUGCAUAUAUCUAAAUAAACAUAUGGAAGAUGGAUCCAAAGGAUAAACACAUUAAUUACACUGGAGAGGUUCACCACAAUGGACAGGAGAAUGGAAGUGAGCAUGGGAACUGAGAGGGCAAAAUAAUAAAGGAAAAGAACAGCCACAUAAUGCACAAUGAAUCAAUGAUUAUGAUUAACUGAACCCUGAAGUCCACAACAAAGAAGGCAAAGUAACAAAUGCAAGGAUGUAGAGUUCACGUGCAGUGGCAUAUGAUGGUAGGUAGCAUCAUGUGCACUGGGAGCAGCAGUGGGGGUGGCAGUGGUUGCCUUCCUACAGUAGGACCUUAGCUUUCGUUUCUCCUGCCUAGCCUCUGCCCACUUUCUUAGCCCGAUUCUUUGGACUCCUAUGAGUUACCUGAUAACCUUGCAAUAAAUACCUUUUCUGCUUAAGUUUACCAGCAUCGUUUCCGUUAUUUGCAUCCAAGAAUCCUGACUGAUAGAUCAUGCAUUUUGUUGGAGAAGAAUACUCAAAUAACUUCUUGAAAAAGUUGUACUGCCUGGAGCCAUGACAGCCAUCUUGUGAACAUGAAGAGAUGAGCAUGAGGAUGAAGACAAUACAUUAAAGAAGAAAAAAUUAGAAGGAAUUUGCUUCCCCACCAGGCAGCUGAACCCAUGUAACACUUCCUGUUAAUUUAAAAAGUGAAUGAAUGAAUAAAUAAAGCCUUAUGUGUCUAA
Marmota flaviventris (yellow-bellied marmot) is the source of this 2990-nucleotide non-coding RNA. Lineage: Eukaryota; Metazoa; Chordata; Mammalia; Rodentia; Sciuridae. The record is from RefSeq and is a predicted model, not a curated record.